GCUAGCGGCAGGCCUAACACAUGCAAGUCGAGGGGUAACGAUGUCUUCGGACAGGCGACGACCGGCGCACGGGUGAGUAUCGCGUUUGUAACCUACCUUUAACUGGAGCAUAGCCCGAAGAAAUUCGGAUUAAUACUCCAUAACACUAUGAACUGGCAUCUUUUUAUAGUUAAAGCUCCGGCGGUUAAAGAUGGGCAUGCGUAACAUUAGUUUGUUGGUGAGGUAAUGGCUCACCAAGACUACGAUGUUUAGGGGGUCUGAGAGGAUGGUCCCCCACACUGGUACUGAGACACGGACCAGACUCCUACGGGAGGCAGCAGUGAGGAAUAUUGGUCAAUGGGCGCAAGCCUGAACCAGCCAUGCCGCGUGAAGGAUGACAGCGCUAUGCGUUGUAAACUUCUUUUGUACAGGAAGAAAUACUUCUACGUGUAGAAGCUUGACGGUACUGUACGAAUAAGCAUCGGCUAACUCCGUGCCA
RNAcentral lists this ribosomal RNA (478 nucleotides) under uncultured Bacteroidota bacterium. RNAcentral's name for it is "bacterial SSU rRNA". It matches the Rfam family "Bacterial small subunit ribosomal RNA", at positions 35 to 510 of the family's 1533-position model. Lineage: Bacteria; Pseudomonadati; Bacteroidota. The record is from RNAcentral.